ACGCUCGACACCUACGGGGGCAGCAGUGAGGAAUAUUGGUCAAUGGACGCAAGUCUGAACCAGCCAUGCCGCGUGCAGGAUGACGGCUCUAUGAGUUGUAAACUGCUUUUGUACGAGGGUAAACGCAGAUACGUGUAUCUGUCUGAAAGUAUCGUACGAAUAAGGAUCGGCUAACUCCGUGCAGCAGCCGCGGUAAUCUGAGGCGGGCGUGGCAAGGC
RNAcentral lists this ribosomal RNA (218 nucleotides) under uncultured bacterium. RNAcentral's name for it is "partial 16S ribosomal RNA". It matches the Rfam family "Bacterial small subunit ribosomal RNA", at positions 328 to 544 of the family's 1533-position model. The record is from RNAcentral.